This 73-nucleotide small nucleolar RNA is filed under the name Thermococcus onnurineus. RNAcentral describes it as "Small nucleolar RNA sR39". It matches the Rfam family "Small nucleolar RNA sR39". The record is from RNAcentral. Lineage: Archaea; Methanobacteriati; Methanobacteriota; Thermococci; Thermococcales; Thermococcaceae.
GGCGAUGACGACAAUUUCGCUAGCUGAAGUCACGCUCCAUGUGGCAGGAUGAUGAGUACCCUCGCAGCUGAGC